RNAcentral lists this ribosomal RNA (1454 nucleotides) under Lactiplantibacillus plantarum. Its description in RNAcentral is "bacterial SSU rRNA". It matches the Rfam family "Bacterial small subunit ribosomal RNA". Lineage: Bacteria; Bacillati; Bacillota; Bacilli; Lactobacillales; Lactobacillaceae. The record is from RNAcentral.
ACGAACGCUGGCGGCGUGCCUAAUACAUGCAAGUCGAACGAACUCUGGUAUUGAUUGGUGCUUGCAUCAUGAUUUACAUUUGAGUGAGUGGCGAACUGGUGAGUAACACGUGGGAAACCUGCCCAGAAGCGGGGGAUAACACCUGGAAACAGAUGCUAAUACCGCAUAACAACUUGGACCGCAUGGUCCGAGUUUGAAAGAUGGCUUCGGCUAUCACUUUUGGAUGGUCCCGCGGCGUAUUAGCUAGAUGGUGGGGUAACGGCUCACCAUGGCAAUGAUACGUAGCCGACCUGAGAGGGUAAUCGGCCACAUUGGGACUGAGACACGGCCCAAACUCCUACGGGAGGCAGCAGUAGGGAAUCUUCCACAAUGGACGAAAGUCUGAUGGAGCAACGCCGCGUGAGUGAAGAAGGGUUUCGGCUCGUAAAACUCUGUUGUUAAAGAAGAACAUAUCUGAGAGUAACUGUUCAGGUAUUGACGGUAUUUAACCAGAAAGCCACGGCUAACUACGUGCCAGCAGCCGCGGUAAUACGUAGGUGGCAAGCGUUGUCCGGAUUUAUUGGGCGUAAAGCGAGCGCAGGCGGUUUUUUAAGUCUGAUGUGAAAGCCUUCGGCUCAACCGAAGAAGUGCAUCGGAAACUGGGAAACUUGAGUGCAGAAGAGGACAGUGGAACUCCAUGUGUAGCGGUGAAAUGCGUAGAUAUAUGGAAGAACACCAGUGGCGAAGGCGGCUGUCUGGUCUGUAACUGACGCUGAGGCUCGAAAGUAUGGGUAGCAAACAGGAUUAGAUACCCUGGUAGUCCAUACCGUAAACGAUGAAUGCUAAGUGUUGGAGGGUUUCCGCCCUUCAGUGCUGCAGCUAACGCAUUAAGCAUUCCGCCUGGGGAGUACGGCCGCAAGGCUGAAACUCAAAGGAAUUGACGGGGGCCCGCACAAGCGGUGGAGCAUGUGGUUUAAUUCGAAGCUACGCGAAGAACCUUACCAGGUCUUGACAUACUAUGCAAAUCUAAGAGAUUAGACGUUCCCUUCGGGGACAUGGAUACAGGUGGUGCAUGGUUGUCGUCAGCUCGUGUCGUGAGAUGUUGGGUUAAGUCCCGCAACGAGCGCAACCCUUAUUAUCAGUUGCCAGCAUUAAGUUGGGCACUCUGGUGAGACUGCCGGUGACAAACCGGAGGAAGGUGGGGAUGACGUCAAAUCAUCAUGCCCCUUAUGACCUGGGCUACACACGUGCUACAAUGGAUGGUACAACGAGUUGCGAACUCGCGAGAGUAAGCUAAUCUCUUAAAGCCAUUCUCAGUUCGGAUUGUAGGCUGCAACUCGCCUACAUGAAGUCGGAAUCGCUAGUAAUCGCGGAUCAGCAUGCCGCGGGUGAAUACGUUCCCGGGCCUUGUACACACCGCCCGUCACACCAUGAGAGUUUGUAACACCCAAAGUCGGUGGGGUAACCUUUUAGGA